CUACGGGUGGCACCAGCAGGGAAUAUUGCACAAUGGACGGAAGUCUGAUGCAGCGACGCCGCGUGGAUGAUGAAGGCCCUCGGGUUGUAAAAUCCUUUUCAGGGGGACGAGGAAGGACGGUACCCUUGGAAUAAGCGUCGGCUAACUAACGUGCCAGCAGCCGUGGUAAGACGUAGGACGCAAGCGUUAUCCGGAUUUACUGGGCGUAAAGCGUCUGUAGGCGGAAUGGUAAGUUGGACGUGAAAGCUCCGGGCUCAACCCGGAGAGGUCGUUCAAUACUGCCAAACUAGAGGGCAUCAGAGGAGCGUGGAAUUUCCGGUGUAGCGGUAAAAUGCGCAGAUAUCGGAAGGAACACCAAUGGCGAAGGCAGCGCUCUGGGAUGAACCUGACGCUAAGAGACGAAAGCUAGGGGAGCGAACAGGAUUAGAUACCCGAGUAGUC
RNAcentral lists this ribosomal RNA (441 nucleotides) under uncultured bacterium. RNAcentral describes it as "partial 16S ribosomal RNA". It matches the Rfam family "Bacterial small subunit ribosomal RNA", at positions 339 to 795 of the family's 1533-position model. The record is from RNAcentral.